GGGGGAAUAAAAGUGCACUGAACAGCACGCACAACAUUAUACAAUUUAAACCUGUGUGAAUAUUUAAACUUGUGUAAAAUUAUAUCAAAUCUUCAGCGUCUACCAUAAUUCCAAAGAAUGUUGACAAAACAGGUGUCUAAAUGCAUGUAAAACACAGACCAGCAUAUGGCGGCUUUCACUAUAUAUAACGAAGCGGAAAUGGAUCUGAACUGCGCUGACCCUAUUAAUACAAACAGUGAAUCGUGAGGGUCUGGAACCAACUCCCCAG
Polyodon spathula (Mississippi paddlefish) is the source of this 268-nucleotide long non-coding RNA. RefSeq lists it as uncharacterized. The record is from RefSeq and is a predicted model, not a curated record. NCBI's taxonomy places the organism in Eukaryota, Metazoa, Chordata, Actinopteri, Acipenseriformes, Polyodontidae. The transcript is spliced from 3 exons.